RNAcentral lists this ribosomal RNA (253 nucleotides) under uncultured bacterium. Its description in RNAcentral is "partial 16S ribosomal RNA". It matches the Rfam family "Bacterial small subunit ribosomal RNA", at positions 524 to 776 of the family's 1533-position model. The record is from RNAcentral.
UACGGAGGGUGCAAGCGUUAUCCGGAUUUACUGGGUUUAAAGGGUGCGUAGGUGGGUAGGUAAGUCAGUGGUGAAAUCUUCGAGCUUAACUCGGAAACUGCCAUUGAUACUAUUUACCUUGAAUACUCUGGAGGUAAGCGGAAUAUGUCAUGUAGCGGUGAAAUGCUUAGAUAUGACAUAGAACACCAAUUGCGAAGGCAGCUUACUACAUAGUUAUUGACACUGAGGCACGAAAGCGUGGGGAUCAAACAGG